UCGAGAUGGUUUGACCCCUGAUAUGAUCAGGGGUUGGGCUUAAUCAAUUCCUAAUUUGAUUAAGAUUUUAUUGAGCCUAAUUAAGCCUAAUUAAGUUAGAUUUAAAUUAGUCUAAUUGGGCCUAACUUAUUUGGUUCAAUUAGGUUGGUUUAAAUAAUGAAACCACCUUGACCCAUUCUCCCUGCGCCACCUCACUUCCACUGCGCCCAUUUGAAUUCAUGAGAAGGAAGUUCUCAUAAAUUUUUCCUCAUGCAAAGCCCUCCUCAUGCCCU
This 272-nucleotide long non-coding RNA is filed under the name Elaeis guineensis (African oil palm). RNAcentral describes it as "long non-coding RNA (EGUI_LNC061846)". The record is from RNAcentral. Lineage: Eukaryota; Viridiplantae; Streptophyta; Magnoliopsida; Arecales; Arecaceae.